Molecule: long non-coding RNA, 218 nt
Organism: Sander lucioperca (pikeperch)
Lineage: Eukaryota; Metazoa; Chordata; Actinopteri; Perciformes; Percidae
Exons: 3
Source: RefSeq, a predicted model, not a curated record
CCGCUAUGAUCGGGCCAGGCCGGGCUGGGCCAUUAAACAAGCAUUUGUGUUUUUUUAAUCAUUACUUUAUUAGCCUUAUUCGGUGGGGAGCAAGUUAUGCCUCUCCAGCUUCUCCCGUAGCUCUGGGUGUAUGUCCUGCACUGACUUGAGUAUGAGGAAAACUGUGCUACAUCGCGUCUCCUCCAUCUGCAGCACUGUUGUCUGACAGUGCUUCAGCA